Molecule: ribosomal RNA, 168 nt
Filed under: Escherichia coli
Lineage: Bacteria; Pseudomonadati; Pseudomonadota; Gammaproteobacteria; Enterobacterales; Enterobacteriaceae
Also listed under: 1 other name
Description: partial 16S ribosomal RNA
Rfam family: Bacterial small subunit ribosomal RNA
Source: RNAcentral
AAAUUGAAGAGUUUGAUCAUGGCUCAGAUUGAACGCUGGCGGCAGGCCUAACACAUGCAAGUCGAACGGUAACAGAAAGCAGCUUGCUGCUUUGCUGACGAGUGGCGGACGGGUGAGUAAUGUCUGGGAAACUGCCUGAUGGAGGGGGAUAACUACUGGAAACGGUAG